RNAcentral lists this ribosomal RNA (747 nucleotides) under fungal endophyte. RNAcentral's name for it is "eukaryotic LSU rRNA". The stretch from base 522 to 747 matches the Rfam family "Eukaryotic large subunit ribosomal RNA", at positions 1 to 226 of the family's 3401-position model. The record is from RNAcentral. Lineage: Eukaryota; Fungi.
GUGACCUGCGGAAGGAUCAUUACCGAGUGAGGGCCCUCUGGGUCCAACCUCCCACCCGUGUUUAUUUUACCUUGUUGCUUCGGCGGGCCCGCCUUAACUGGCCGCCGGGGGGCUCACGCCCCCGGGCCCGCGCCCGCCGAAGACACCCUCGAACUCUGUCUGAAGAUUGAAGUCUGAGUGAAAAUAUAAAUUAUUUAAAACUUUCAACAACGGAUCUCUUGGUUCCGGCAUCGAUGAAGAACGCAGCGAAAUGCGAUACGUAAUGUGAAUUGCAAAUUCAGUGAAUCAUCGAGUCUUUGAACGCACAUUGCGCCCCCUGGUAUUCCGGGGGGCAUGCCUGUCCGAGCGUCAUUGCUGCCCUCAAGCCCGGCUUGUGUGUUGGGCCCCGUCCUCCGAUCUCCGGGGGACGGGCCCGAAAGGCAGCGGCGGCACCGCGUCCGGUCCUCGAGCGUAUGGGGCUUUGUCACCCGCUCUGUAGGCCCGGCCGGCGCUUGCCGAUCAACCCAAAUUUUUAUCCAGGUUGACCUCGGAUCAGGUAGGGAUACCCGCUGAACUUAAGCAUAUCAAUAAGCGGAGGAAAAGAAACCAACAGGGAUUGCCCCAGUAACGGCGAGUGAAGCGGCAAGAGCUCAAAUUUGAAAGCUGGCUCCUUCGGGGUCCGCAUUGUAAUUUGCAGAGGAUGCUUCGGGAGCGGUCCCCAUCUAAGUGCCCUGGAACGGGACGUCAUAGAGGGUGAGAAUCCCGUAU